CCUCUCCAUUAUUUUCCAUCCUCUCAUCAGCAAAGUCCAACCAACCAGCUGUAAUUGGUCAUAUAUAUAUAAUUUGUAACGAUAAUCGGAAAACCUUAAAAAAAACUAUGGGUUUCACUAUUAUACUAAAUUAUACAAAGUUAGAUUGCCUCACUGCUUUUUCUCUUUUCCUUUAUUAUUGUAGCUGCCACAUAAACGGAAAAAAUGAAAGUGAAACAUCACGGGUGUGAUGAGGAAAUGACUGUGUAGCAUUCCUUAACCGUCCAUUAUUUCCAGUCAUCUCUUCAGGAAGUCUAAACAACCAGCUAUAUUUGAUCAUAUAUAUAUUUUGUAACAUUCAUCGGGAAACCUUAAAAGCUAUGUCUUUAACAGUAAACUGGAUCACACUGGGUUUGGGGAAAAUUGCCAUCACAGUGGGAACAGCGACAGCCUCCACAACUGCUGUGGUGGGACUUGGGCUCAUAGCGGCUGCAGGUGUAGUUGGCUAUUGCGUCUACCAAAAAUCCAAAGGGAACCAAAAGGCUCAUAAGACGGCAUGAUGUGACCCCGCCCCCUACUGGAUGCUCCCAGAUAUCAUGACAGACAUAGAUAUUCAGUUAGGGAUUUUAGAGGCUGUUUACUGAUUUGAGAAAAUGUAAGAAUAAAAUCAGUGAUCACA
Long non-coding RNA from Esox lucius (northern pike), 658 nucleotides. RefSeq lists it as uncharacterized. The transcript is spliced from 3 exons. The record is from RefSeq and is a predicted model, not a curated record. NCBI's taxonomy places the organism in Eukaryota, Metazoa, Chordata, Actinopteri, Esociformes, Esocidae.